Small nuclear RNA from Lynx canadensis (Canada lynx), 104 nucleotides. The record is from Ensembl. NCBI's taxonomy places the organism in Eukaryota, Metazoa, Chordata, Mammalia, Carnivora, Felidae.
GUGGCACUCCAGCAGCACACAUACUAAAAUUGGAGUGAUACAGAGACGAUUAGCAUGGUCUCUGAGGAGGAUGAUAUGCAAGUUCAUGAAGCUUCCAUAUGUUG